This 214-nucleotide long non-coding RNA is filed under the name Vigna radiata. RNAcentral describes it as "long non-coding RNA (VRAD_LNC005504)". The record is from RNAcentral. Lineage: Eukaryota; Viridiplantae; Streptophyta; Magnoliopsida; Fabales; Fabaceae.
UGAGAGAGAAAAAGGUGAGAGGUAUUUAUAAUGGUAAGAGAGAGAAAUAGAAAAGACAGAAAAAGGUGAGAGAGGUGUCAGGAAUAACAGUGGAGAGAGAAGAAAAAUAUUGUCAUGUAAGUGUGAAAUUAACGCCGUUGCAAGCUACUUAAUGGGAGGGACCUAUUGAAAGCAAAAUCAAUAACCUGGGAACCUAAUUAAAUCACUUUUAAAA